CACCAUUAUACCGGUUCGCUCGUUUUAUUUUUGCCCAGCCCUAACAAACCCGAACGGCACAACUUCUUAUCCCCAUACCCGAACGGCGCCGUUGAGCUGUCCACACGAUCUGGCUAUGGCGACGGCGAUGGGAUUCUCUCGAGCUUCCCGGACCUACGGCGGGACGUGUGGCUGCGACAGUGGUCUGGCCACGUCGGCGAGGAGAGCGGCGCGAGUCUCCGCGGCGUGAAUCCUGCUCCCCGAUGUAUUCGCAAUCGGCUGGAAUCCAGAGAAGAAGGGCGCGAGCUCCGGGCGGUGCACAUGCGGGAGAGCCGCCGGAUACGAGGCAGGGACCGGCCGCGGCGGCGCUGGGUCUAGGUCGCUGGUGGAGGCCGUGUCAGGUGAGCCAUGGCGGUGGGGAGCGACAUAAGCUUGUACCAGAUCCCUACUACUACGAGUCCAAGACGUCGACACCAUGGGGGACGGGGAUGGAUGAUCUUGGCCAUAGAGAUGGGGUGGGCUCGGUGGAGCAUGGCCAUGGGGACAGAGACGUGUCUUACUGAGGAAACCCUCGAAAUUGCGAUGACGGGGAUGACGUUGAAGGCGUUGGCCGCCGCUAGACACAUGCCUGCAGCCCAUGACCGAAGGACUGCAAGCAUGCCAAGCUGGUGUUCGCGCCUCUUGUUGAUGCGACCAGUAUAUGGAUGUGGCAGCUCACCAAGGCGCCCAGCUCGUCAACCACUGGUACGAAUCAAUGGGCAUCAUCCCAAUUCAGAUUUCCUCCUGAGGACCUCAUUCCAGUUGAUGCAUACAAACGGAGAUUGUAGUGAUACAGGCUUAGAAUGCACGUGUGCAAAGAGCCUCCAUCUCGUCGAAGACCUGACCAUUCUCCUCCUUCAACCUCUUUUCACAAGAACAUGAUUCUGUUUGAGCUGCCGAAACAGUGGCAAUAUACCAAGAAUACUUAGAUUACUUGGAGAUCACAAGGAACAGAUUCGUAAUCAGGCAACAACCAUGUCCUAAUGAAGACUUGCAGAUCCAUCUGCCGGAUCAUUGCCUGGCGCAGUUCAAUUUCAUGCCAACAAGUAUGUUUCCUGUAAUUGGUUACUACAGUUCUUUUUGUGAGGAGGUGACAUAGGCUGCCAAUAAAUGAGAACAUUGAAGAUGAAUUCUAAGUUGGUGAGAGUUGGUCUGCCAUGUGUGAUAGCAUGGUGCGCCAUUCUAUUUAGGCCCUACUUUUGUUCUUUUUUAAUUCCUUAAUAUUUCCAUUGCUCUUUUUGCACGAUUUUUCUAAUCUUCCAGCAAUGUUGUUUUGUUGGUAAAAGUGGCAGAUAGGCUUGGUUUAGAAAAAUUAUAUGUAGCUCUGACCAGAAUAACAUGGCUUGCUUCUGGUGGUCCACAUCGCAUCCCAUAACCCUUUGAAGUUUGUUUGUCUUCUUCACAAAAAUUUCUAAUAUGAAUUUUGUUCUAGCAUAUUACCUGUACAUAUAUAGAUGCAAUUUGAAUUAUGGAUUGUUAGUGGAGGUUACUUGUUUUCUCUUAAGGUAUGAAUCCUUGGACUGAUGCUUGAAUCAUGUUUUAUUUUAUAAUGGGCAAACUAAGAAGGUGUAAUUUCCAAUAUCAGGUUUUGGUUAAGAAAUGACAAUUUUGUAGAAACAGUGUGGAGAUAACAUCUGGUUGAAACUUUGAUUAUAGUAAAAUUGAUUCUGUUAAGCUUCUGAUGUAUCGUGAAGUAUAUUGAUAAAAAUAACUGGUGUGCAAUUCCUACUGAAAUGAUUAUUUCAUGGACAUGCAUUGUCCUAACCAAAUAUCUAUUUUUAACAGCUGAAACCUUCGCUUAUGUACUUUUUUUCGCGGGUGGACAUAUACUUAAUUUGUGUACCUGUUAUUUGGUUUUUGCCAUUUAUGUACUGAUAAUUCUUUCGAACAUGAUGCGGAAAUUGUUUUUAGAUAACCUGUUAGGACUUAGUAACUUGCAGGGUCUAAAUCUGUUUACAGUACUUCUGCAGUAUUGAGAAUUUUUAGAUGCUUAUAAACUGAGCAGUGUUGUUUUUUGCUUACUGAAUUUUGUUGAAUAUUUGUUAAACCAAAUACAGGUUGAACCAGAUGGUACGACUUCCUCCUCCGUCAAGUUGAAGACGUGUAGCAGGGUGUCCUCAAGAUAUAUGUACCUCAAUGUUGACCCGGUAUAUUUCCACUUGAUUCAGUUUUAAGCUAGCCCUCUAAAUUUCCUCUCCAUGGUAUAUAAUUUAGAACUUCAAUGAAUGUUGUAAGUUUAAACAUAUCGUGUUGGGGCUCUGGGCAAGGCUAGGUCAUCGCCGAGUCCCGUCCGCCAUCUGGUAGUCUCUAACAUUCCCUGAGUCUGUCCAAAUAUCGAGUAGAUCUUGAGUUCCCCCGAGUGGCGUGUUCUGGUUUUGAUUUGGGGCAGACGAAUUUGGAGGUUAGGUCCAUGGUGUGUUAGUUUUUAUGUCGUUUCCAUUUCUACUAUGAUUUUCCUUACUCAUUUGUUUAUGUCGUUGCCAUGAAAGUACUAUGCAGAUGAUAGCUCAUAUUUUAAUCUAUCAGCAUAGGUAAACUGUUGCCAGUUUUCAAUUCCUUUUUUUUUCCUUUUCCUCAGGUUUGUUCCUACCCUACAAAAUAACCCACCUGCUUAGUCAUAUGCAUUUGAGAUGCUUCAUGGGGUGAUGGUAUACACCUCAGUUGCCGA
This is a non-coding RNA of Lolium perenne, 2686 nucleotides long. Lineage: Eukaryota; Viridiplantae; Streptophyta; Magnoliopsida; Poales; Poaceae. The record is from RefSeq and is a predicted model, not a curated record.